CUUCACUACAGGUUUCCUCCAACUGCUGCUACUGUUAGUUCAUCGCUUCUCUUGGGUAUAUGUGGCCUUCCAGACACCAUUUUUAGGAAUGCUGUGGAAAUGGCUUUGGGUGAUUCUAAGUGUUAUCGGCUUGAAAAUCCUAACGCAAGAUUGUCGUGUUUCUUUAACAAGUUUCCUUAAGGUAUCCCUCAGCCGACAGUCAAAGUUUAAUCCUAUCGAAGCAUAGAGAUCACCAAAGUGGAUUUUGCCUCUACCAACAAAACAUUUUUCAUAUGCACGGCCAGGAAUCGAACCACUGUCAAUAUGUUUAAGAGACCUAGCUAUCUACCAACAGUACCAGGCUUUGUUGGUUGAUCUUCAAAAUUUUAAGUCAUAGUUCGGGAAUCUAUUAUACAUAGGGAAUGGCGAAAGCUCACACCCAUGAUACAUUCAUUUAAAAUAAUUAUCUUAAUUCAUUGUGCAUAUUAGUGUUUAAAAACUAAGUUCGGCCAUCGACUCGGCCGAGAUCAGGGGUAACAAGUUCAAUCGGGAAGUCACGGGGUCAAUUCGUUGACCCGAUUUUAUACAUUAAGAAAAUAUAAAUAUAUAUCCUAUAUUAAAAAUUCAAAAUAUUCAAAUCACCAAUCAUCAAAGAUUCAAAAUAUACUUAACAUAAUUCAACCAAUUACAUCCACAAGUCAAUACUACACAAGCUAAUUAAAGUAUCAAACUAUCAAAGUAUAAAACACAUAUUCCAGUGGAGUUAAUGAAAAGUUAUAUCGUUAAACCCAAGCCCUCCUUGUUAUUCUCACACACCUAUAACAGCAUGUGAAAGGAGAUCUAUUACCUAAAAGAAAACGCCGGAGGAGAGGCGGUAACACGACGAAUCAACUGUGGGGAGAGAAGCACCAGCAAGGCAGAUGACAGGGGGAAAGAAGACCCAAGAGGAUAGGAGGAACCACCAUCAUAGUGGAGGGGAUCACCGGAUCAGGGAGAUUGAGUCUGGGUCUAGGUCUGAGAGAGAAAAUUAGAAGAGAAGAAGAAGAACGAUUCAGAUUUCAGCUCUAGUUCUAGAUCUUGGCAGCAACAAGUUUUUUUACACACCAAACGAAGUCCUUUCGUGUGAAUUUUUUUUUAAAAAAAAUGCAGUGACAUCCUCUGACUUAGGAGUCACGGGUUCAACCGGGGGAUUUCGGGGGUCAGAGCGAUCAACGUGUAUUCAGGGUCUAACUGAUGACCCCAACUCUCAGAGAGAGGGGCCAGUGAUAUGGCGGGGUCUAGGGGUGCUAAACAAACCAGGGACAUUUGGCUCGGCUCGUGAAGACCUGAGCUUACAUGUCUAAAAUUGGUUAUUGGCACCAGGCUUGGCCUUGUAUAAAAGCUCGUUUAAUAAAAAGGCCUCAAGCUCCAAUUCAAAAGCUCGGCCUUAAAGUCUCUUAGGCUGGCAUAGUAUAUUAUUUUUUAUAUUUUUUAUACUACUUGUAAUAGCCUUCUCUUUCUCCUCAAUCCAUUUCAUCUUAUUUUAUUGG
Molecule: long non-coding RNA, 1508 nt
Organism: Gastrolobium bilobum
Lineage: Eukaryota; Viridiplantae; Streptophyta; Magnoliopsida; Fabales; Fabaceae
Exons: 3
Source: RefSeq, a predicted model, not a curated record